CUUUCUUCAGAGAGCUGAUGAUGUAGGCGUGGACCUGCGAACGGAGGAGGAAGCGUCAGCAUUUUCACGGGGAUAUUUCUCGACAGAUGGCUGGAAAGUCGAUCCUGAAUAAUGAGGACCCAAUAUCACUCCCAGAACCUGAGCAGAAAGUUCUAAAAGAGGUUCAGGACCAGAACCAGAACCAGCAGAUGACAUGGCUCCCCAAAUCAUCACUGACUGACUGUAGAAACUUCACAUUAAGCUUCUAGCAGCCUGGAUUCACUCUUCCUCCAGACUCUGCCACAUUGACUUCCAAAUAGCAUACAACAUAUAGUUUCAUAAGAAAAAAAAGGAUCAUGAUCCGAGUAACAAUCCAAAUUAUUUCCUCCAUUAUCCCCGUUGCUUCAUUUUUAACCACACUUUUUCCUUCUACUCAACUUUCCAUUAAGUCAGUCAGCUUCUUUAGGUAGGGACUUUUUUCGCAUAACCUUCAUGAUAGUGUGGACUAUAAA
Non-coding RNA from Poecilia reticulata (guppy), 491 nucleotides. Lineage: Eukaryota; Metazoa; Chordata; Actinopteri; Cyprinodontiformes; Poeciliidae. The record is from RefSeq and is a predicted model, not a curated record.